This 842-nucleotide ribosomal RNA is filed under the name Arthrobacter sp. RNAcentral's name for it is "bacterial SSU rRNA". It matches the Rfam family "Bacterial small subunit ribosomal RNA", at positions 23 to 877 of the family's 1533-position model. Lineage: Bacteria; Bacillati; Actinomycetota; Actinomycetes; Micrococcales; Micrococcaceae. The record is from RNAcentral.
CCCAGAGACGCUGCGGCGUGCUUAACACAUGCAAGUCGAACGAUGAUCUCCAGCUUGCUGGGGGGAUUAGUGGCGAACGGGUGAGUAACACGUGAGUAACCUGCCCUUGACUCUGGGAUAAGCCUGGGAAACUGGGUCUAAUACCGGAUAUGACCAUUCCGCGCAUGCGGUGGUGGUGGAAAGCUUUUGCGGUUUUGGAUGGACUCGCGGCCUAUCAGCUUGUUGGUGGGGUAAUGGCCUACCAAGGCGACGACGGGUAGCCGGCCUGAGAGGGUGACCGGCCACACUGGGACUGAGACACGGCCCAGACUCCUACGGGAGGCAGCAGUGGGGAAUAUUGCACAAUGGGCGCAAGCCUGAUGCAGCGACGCCGCGUGAGGGAUGACGGCCUUCGGGUUGUAAACCUCUUUCAGUAGGGAAGAAGCCGCAAGGUGACGGUACCUGCAGAAGAAGCGCCGGCUAACUACGUGCCAGCAGCCGCGGUAAUACGUAGGGCGCAAGCGUUAUCCGGAAUUAUUGGGCGUAAAGAGCUCGUAGGCGGUUUGUCGCGUCUGCUGUGAAAGACCGGGGCUCAACUCCGGUUCUGCAGUGGGUACGGGCAGACUAGAGUGAUGUAGGGGAGACUGGAAUUCCUGGUGUAGCGGUGAAAUGCGCAGAUAUCAGGAGGAACACCGAUGGCGAAGGCAGGUCUCUGGGCAUUAACUGACGCUGAGGAGCGAAAGCAUGGGGAGCGAACAGGAUUAGAUACCCUGGUAGUCCAUGCCGUAAACGUUGGGCACUAGGUGUGGGGGACAUUCCACGUUUUCCGCGCCGUAGCUAACGCAUUAAGUGCCCCGCCUGGA